CCCAGCAUCCAUCCUUUCCCUCCUUUGGACUGGUUUUCUUCCACGGUUCACUCUUUCCCUCAACUGUGAGCCUGGGGGACAACCCUGUUCCUCCUCCCUGCUCCCCCUCUACCCCACUCCUCCCCACCCCACCCCUCCACCCAGACAAAGAUCUGUGCUCCAGGGAUGGGCAUGUGACCGAAAUUGUCCAAUGAGGAGCAACCUCGGGGCUGUUGCUUAGCCUGCUGGCUCAGAGCAGUGCUGUCGACCCCCCAGGUCAGUGUAACCUGUGGGUGUGCCACCUGGACUUGUAGCAGGCAUUUGGUCGCCUUGUAGACAGAGCUGGCCUGUGGAAAAGAGCUGGCCUGUGGCUAAGAGAGUCUCAGAGAAAUUGAGCCAGAACUCUGAUCAUACCGUACCUGAAGUCUCAUUAUCCCUAGACAGUUACAGAAGCCAAAAUUCAUUGUUUUAGGCAAGAUUCAGUGAUGGUGUCCAUUUCUUGCAACGUGAAGAUAUUCAUUGACAAUGGUGAUUCCACCCUCACAUCAAUCCUAGGAAAAUGGGCGGGUAAAUACAGAAUUUACGACCUAUUUUCACUUUUUUUUUUUCUUUUUUUUUAAGAUUUUAUUUAUUUAGUCAGAGAGAGAGAGCGAGAGUGAGCACAGGCAGACAGAGUGGCAGGCAGAGUCAGAGGGAGAAGCAGGCUCCCCGCAGAGCAAG
Molecule: long non-coding RNA, 699 nt
Filed under: Mustela putorius furo (domestic ferret)
Lineage: Eukaryota; Metazoa; Chordata; Mammalia; Carnivora; Mustelidae
Description: lncRNA (ENSMPUG00000026492.1)
Source: RNAcentral